CCCUUAGAUGUUCUGGGCUGCACGCGCGCUACACUGAUGCGCUCAACGAGUUUACGACCUUGCCCGGAAGGGUUGGGUAAUCUUUUUAAAACGCAUCGUGAUGGGGAUAGAUUAUUGCAAUUAUUAAUCUUUAACGAGGAAUUCCUAGUAAGCGCGAGUCAUCAGCUCGUGCUGAUUACGUCCCUGCCCUUUGUACACACCGCCCGUCGCUCCUACCGAUUGAGUGGUCCGGUGAAUAAUUCGGACUGCAGCAGUGUUCAGUUCCUGAACGUUGCAGCGGAAAGUUUAGUGAACCUUAUCACUUAGAGGAAGGAGAAGUCGUAACA
This 326-nucleotide ribosomal RNA is filed under the name uncultured eukaryote. RNAcentral's name for it is "partial 18S ribosomal RNA". It matches the Rfam family "Eukaryotic small subunit ribosomal RNA", at positions 1470 to 1796 of the family's 1831-position model. The record is from RNAcentral.